GGCGCCAUAGUCUAUCGGUUAGGACGCGGCCCUUUCAAGGCUGAGAGACGGGUUCGACUCCCGUUGGCGCUACCA
This 75-nucleotide transfer RNA is filed under the name Vulcanimicrobiaceae bacterium. RNAcentral's name for it is "tRNA-Glu". It matches the Rfam family "tRNA". From Rfam's summary of the family: Transfer RNA (tRNA) molecules are approximately 80 nucleotides in length. Their secondary structure includes four short double-helical elements and three loops (D, anti-codon, and T loops). Lineage: Bacteria; Bacillati; Vulcanimicrobiota; Vulcanimicrobiia; Vulcanimicrobiales; Vulcanimicrobiaceae. The record is from RNAcentral. RNAcentral also lists the same sequence under 2 other names.